RNAcentral lists this ribosomal RNA (829 nucleotides) under uncultured bacterium. RNAcentral's name for it is "bacterial SSU rRNA". It matches the Rfam family "Bacterial small subunit ribosomal RNA", at positions 1 to 875 of the family's 1533-position model. The record is from RNAcentral.
GUCGAACGGAGUUAUCAUUUCAGAAGCAAUUAGCUUGCUAAGAGUCGAAGAGAGGAUAACUUAGUGGCGGACGGGUGAGUAACGCGUGGGGAACCUGCCCUGCACCGGGGGAUAACACCUGGAAACAGGUGCUAAUACCGCAUAAGCGCACGAGGCCGCAUGGCCAGGUGUGAAAAACUAAGGUGGUGCAGGAUGGACCCGCGUCUGAUUAGCUUGUUGGUAGGGUAACGGCCUACCAAGGCGACGAUCAGUAGCCGGCCUGAGAGGGUGAACGGCCACAUUGGGACUGAGACACGGCCCAAACUCCUACGGGAGGCAGCAGUGGGGAAUAUUGGACAAUGGGGGGAACCCUGAUCCAGCGACGCCGCGUGAGUGAAGAAGUAUUUCGGUAUGUAAAGCUCUAUCAGCAGGGAAGAAAGAAAUGACGGUACCUGACUAAGAAGCCCCGGCUAACUACGUGCCAGCAGCCGCGGUAAUACGUAGGGGGCAAGCGUUAUCCGGAUUUACUGGGUGUAAAGGGAGCGUAGACGGCAGUGCAAGUCUGAAGUGAAAGGCGGGGGCCCAACCCCCGGACUGCUUUGGAAACUGUGCUGCUGGAGUGCAGGAGAGGCAAGUGGAAUUCCUAGUGUAGCGGUGAAAUGCGUAGAUAUUAGGAGGAACACCAGUGGCGAAGGCGGCUUGCUGGACUGUAACUGACGUUGAGGCUCGAAAGCGUGGGGAGCAAACAGGAUUAGAUACCCUGGUAGUCCACGCCGUAAACGAUGAUCACUAGGUGUCNGUGGGUAUGGACCCAUCGGUGCCGCAGCNAACGCAGUAAGUGAUCCACCUG